This 4753-nucleotide unclassified non-coding RNA is filed under the name Aphidius gifuensis. RNAcentral describes it as "tight junction protein ZO-1, transcript variant X1". Lineage: Eukaryota; Metazoa; Arthropoda; Insecta; Hymenoptera; Braconidae. The record is from RNAcentral.
UAUUAUAACCACAAAAUGAAAAAGUAAUAAAUUGGCAAAGACGUGUAGUGGGAAAUAUUGUGCGUUGAAUAAAAACAGAUAUCAAGUUGUUGUGCGUGAUAGACAGGGAUACUAAAGAAGAAGAACAAUAAUAAUAAAUUUAAAAAAAAAAAGAUAUAUGUAUAUGUAUAUAUAAAUAUCACAUACAUAUAAACGCAACUGCAACAUCAACAAUAUAUAUAUACAUAUAUUGAGUGGAAACACCUGUUGCUUGGUUGCGGGCUUUUUGAGUUAAAAAGAGUUUCUAUUAAAACGGCAAUAGUAGACAAGUGAGCAUGGCCGGCUCCUCGGAAGUUAGGACACUUUUAUCACGUCAUAAAGUAUCCUUACUUUGUGAAUUAAAUAGAACUGAUUUACUUAAUGUUUUGGUUAAACGUGGUGUUAUUACUGAAAUUGACAAGGACGCUGUAGCUGGAAAUGUUGAUCGUUCAACUGAUUCAGAUGUUGAUCUUUUUAUUGACAUUAUUGGUGCCAAGGGCUUUGAUGCAUUUCGGGAAUUUUGCUUUGCUUUAGAUAAAUAUUGUCCAGAUUUAUUGACUGAUUUACUUGUUAAUCAACAAAAUACUGCCGGUGGUGAAAAUCAGCAGCAUGACGAAAAUGAUGAGGAGGAAGCUAAACUUGAACAAAAAUUAAAAAAACAAGAAGCUGUUGAUAAGGAAGAUGAAUUGAGUGUUAUCAAUAAUACUGGACAACAAAAAAAUUGUAAUAAUGAAGAACAAAUAAUAACAAAUGUUAUCAAUGCCAGCAGAGAAUCUAUUGAUUGCAUUAAAGAAUGUCCUGAAGUAAAUGAUACGAGGAGGUUGAGUAGUUAUCCAGAUCAACAAAAUGGAUCAGUGUCAUCAAUUAAUUUGGAUAAUUCAACUCAACAAAAUCAUCAUCGUGCAUCAUGUGUAUUUCAAAAUAUUCAAAAUGGUAAUUUACCAAAUGGUGAACAGAUACUUGAAGUUUUGGAUGAACCGGUUGAUGAACCCGUUGGUGAUAGAGGAUGGGAAGUUCAUCAUGUAACAGUAACACGAGUACCUGGUUAUGGUUUUGGUAUUGCUGUAUCUGGUGGUCGUGAUAAUCCACAUUUUACAAAUGGUGAUACAGCAAUAGCAAUAUCAGAUGUAUUAAAAGCUGGACCAGCUGAGGGUAAAUUACAAGUUAAUGAUCGUAUUAUAUCAGCAAAUGGAGUAUCACUUGAAGGAGCUAUUUAUGGUGCUGCUGUACAAGUAUUACGUGAUUGUGGUGGUACAGUAUUACUUGUUGUUAAAAGAAGAUCACAAAAUAUACAAAAUAUAAUACCACAAUGUCAUCGUUUAACAUUAACAAGAAAUAAUAAAAAAGAUGAUUUUGGUAUUAUACUUGGUUGUCGUUUAUUUGUAAAAGAAGUUACACGUGAAGGUACUGGUGCUAAACCAGGUGAUAUUGUAACAUGUAUUGGUGGUAUUGCUGUUGAUAAUAUGAGUGUUAAAGAAGCUAGAAAAAUGAUGGAUCAAUGUAAAGAUCGUUUAUCAAUUGUUGUUACAAGAGAUACACCAGUUAAUGCAAAUUUAACAACAGGUAAAACUGAUAAUGGUGAAUAUUUAUCUGGUGCAAGUUAUAGUAGUCAAAAUCUUUAUGUUCCACCACCAACAAGACAAACAAUUGAUGAUAAAAGUAAUUUAGCACCAAGAGGAAGAUCUAGAGGUCCACUUAUGGAUGUUUCAUUGAGUCAACUUGAUUUACCAGCAACACCAACAGUUGAUCCACCAAGACCACCACCACCAAGACCAGAAGAUUAUUAUAGUUCAAGACGGCAGCUGUAUGAUGAAGAUCCACUUUCACAAAGAUCCAAACAACCAAUGCCAGAUCCACGUUUUAUAACAUUUCAAAAAGAAGGUUCAACUGGUGUACGUUUAGCUGGUGGUAAUGAAACUGGUGUAUUUGUAACAGCUGUACAACCAGGAAGUCCAGCAUCAUUACAAGGACUUCAACCAGGUGAUAAAAUACUUAAAGUAAAUGAUAUGGAUAUGAAAAAUGUAACACGUGAAGAAGCAGUAUUAUUUUUAUUGAGUCUUGAAGAACAAAUUGAUCUUAUUGUUCAACAUCGUAGACAUGAAUAUGAACAAAUAAUAACAACUGAACGUGGUGAUUCAUUUCAUAUUAAAACACAUUUUCAUUAUGAACAACCAGAUAAAAAUGAAAUGAGUUUUAGAAGUGGUGAUGUAUUUCAUGUUAUUGAUACAUUAUAUAAUGGUGUUGUUGGUUCAUGGCAAGUAUUUAAAAUUGGUGGAAAUAAUCAAGAAGUACAAAAAGGUAUUAUUCCAAAUAAAGCAAGAGCUGAAGAAUUAGCAACAGCACAAUUUAAUGCAACUAAAAAAGAAUUAAGUGCAAGUGAGAGUCGUGGUAGUUUUUUUCGUAGAAGAAGAGGUAGUCAUAGACGUUCAAAAUCACUUGGACGUGAUCAUUGGGAUGAUGUUGUAUUUUCUGAUAGUGUUAGUAAAUUUCCAGCAUAUGAAAGAGUUGUUUUACGUCAUCCUGGUUUUAUUAGACCAAUUGUAUUAUUUGGACCAAUUGCUGAUAUUGCAAGAGAAAAUUUAUUAAAAGAUUUUCAAGAUAAAUUUACAUCACCACAAAUGGAAAAUCAAAUUGAUGAAAGUGGUAAAAGCACAAAAUCAUCUGGUAUAAUACGUUUAAGUGCAAUUAGAGAAGUUAUGGAUAGAGGAAAACAUGCAUUACUUGAUAUAACACCAAAUGCAGUUGAUAGACUUAAUUAUGCUCAAUUUUAUCCAAUUGUUAUAUUUUUAAAAGCAGAAUCAAAGCAAGUUAUCAAAGAAAUGAGAGCUGGAAUACCAAAGUCAGCACAUAAGAGUAGUAAAAAAUUGUUGGAACAAUGUCAGAAGCUCGACAAAAUAUGGGGUCAUGUAUUUAGUGCUGUUAUUAAAUUAACAACACCCGACACUUGGUACAAAAAAUUACGUGAAUUAAUAGACUAUCAACAACAGAGUCUUUUAUGGAUGAGUCAAACCAAGCCGGAAGAGGCUUUGUCGGAUGAUUUCCUGUUCCCGAUGACAUCACGCCUGUCCUACGCAUCCUCCCCAGAGAGUGAUUUGGAAUUGAAUUCCGCACCUCCUUUAUCUGGUGCCUUGGGACAACCAUCAAGAUUAAAAAGUAGCUCAGAUCCAAGUAUUGCAACUCAAGAUGAUACAACAGCUCCACCACCAUACACAUCAAGCUAUCAGGCAUUUGAACAACAACAGCAACAGCAACAACAGCAGCAGCAACAACUUCAACAACAUCAGCAACAACAACAACAACAACAACAACAACAACAGCAACAACAAAAACAAAUUCAAACAAUACCCGGUGAUAGUAAAUAUGGUUUUUCAACAUCAUCAUCAGUUAAUGAUCAGCUUAAUUCAUCACAAUAUCCUGCUGGCCAUACACAAACAAGAUCACCUCAUCAAGGACCACCAGAUCUUCCACCGAGAAUUGAUCGUAAUGUUAAACCACCAAAUCAAAAUACAAAUUCAAGAGGAACAACUGGACGAUCAGCUGUUGAAAGAUUAUUUAAUAAUAAAAAUGAAUCAACAUUAGAUAUGGGAAAUUAUAGUAAUUCAACACCACACAGAACAAAUCCAUCAUCAUCAUCACUUGAACGUGCUCAACUUAAAGCUAGUAGUUAUGAUAGUAUGUCAUCAUAUGAUUCAUAUAAUACUAAUGGAAAUGCAACUUAUACUGCAACAACAAUUAAUCAAACUUCUGCUGGACGACUUGGACCAAAUGUUCCUGAUGAUUUAAAAACUGGUAAUAUACCAGCUCAAAGAUCACAUGAUCCAUAUAGAUUUACAAGAACUGGAACUCAACAAAUAUUAAAUCAACAAGAUCCACAAACACGAACUGAUUAUGCAAAGUACAGUCGAACUGGAGAUCAAAAAACAAUACCAACAACACCUGGAAAACUAGGUGGUACAUAUAAACCUGUUCCACCACCAAAACCAAAAAAUUAUCGUCCUCCACAAAAACAACAAAUAUCACAAGAUGAAAAUAAUGGAGGAAAUAUGUAUCAACAUGCAAAAAAUUAUUCUAUGAAUACAUCACAUCUUUACAAUGGCGUAGAAAAUGGAGUAAAUUCUCAACGUAAUAGUGGACAAUUUUAUUACAAUGUUCCACCACCAAAUCGUGAAGGAAAUUAUCAUAUAAAUUCAAAUCAUUCACAUAAUCAUACAUCACCAAAUCACAAUCACAGUCUUAGUCAUACACAUUCAAAUCCACCAAUAACAUCACAUUCACAUAGCAAUAGUGCUGGACAAUUGACACUUGGCCAUUCACAUAAUCGUAAUAAUGGUAUUAAUGGUCAUAGUCAUAGUAACAGUCAUGGUGGUACAACUCAUGUAUCAUCCAGUGGUGGUAGCGGCGGCGGUGGUAGUGGUGGAGGUAAUUCAAAUCACAAUAGAGAACCAAGUGGUUUAAAUCUUGCAGGAAGUCGUGAACAACGAGGAAGUGCAUUUGAAUUAUAUAGAAAACCUCCUCUACAUCAUCACAAUGUCAGUUACAUCACCACAUAAUAUUGAUGCACAUAAUAAUAGAAAAAAUAUUGGUCCUCGUGCUUCUUUAUCACCACCAAUGCACAAUGGUGAAUCUUUGUUGAGUCCUUUAGUUGAGUGUGGACCUCGUGGACUUGAAUUUAAGGUUCCAGUUGAAUUGCGAAUUCCUCAUAAUGCAACACCAGCUCAUAAAUUAGCUCUAAAAA